AUCCCCAGCUGGGUUGAAAGGAACGUCAAGACCCUUCCUUUCUUACGACCUAUGUAUCAACUCCCUUCUACCUUGCCUCCCUCCACUUGGAGCCAGUUCUAGCUGGUGAAAUGUAGCCAGAGGUUCCUGGAAAGCCUUUCCUUCUCAAGUAAAGCCUGGCUCAGAGAAAACCACUGGUCUCUUUCCUUUUCUUCCUCCUGACAUGAACAUGCGGCAGGAAGGAGCAUGGAGAAGACGAGAACAAGGCUCUCAGAAGGAACUGGUGUGGCUGGAGCCAUAAGAACUCGUUGUGGAGGAGGCAAAUACAAUUUCUGACUUACAUAAUGAUGUAUGCACAAGAAGCCUCUCCUUGAAUGUAUUAAUUCAGCAAACAGUUAUGGAGUCCUUACAAUGUGCUAGUGGAACUUUGAAGAUGAACCCAAAUUUGGAUCCUGGCCUGAAAAGGCUCAAAGCCUAAUAUGGGGGCCUGGAUCCAAAUGUGAAACUUAUCUUCUUUUAUUAACCAGUCAACCACCUCCUGCCAAAACAACAACAGCAACAACAACAGAAAAAACAAAAACAAAAACAAAAAAAAAACUCUGCAUACACAAGACCUUUGUUUCUACAAGAGACUUGGCUAAAGGUUUGGGCACGCAUAGCCCCAAAAUUAAAAAUGGAAAAUUGAA
Pongo pygmaeus (Bornean orangutan) is the source of this 665-nucleotide long non-coding RNA. RefSeq lists it as uncharacterized. The transcript has 3 exons. The record is from RefSeq and is a predicted model, not a curated record. Lineage: Eukaryota; Metazoa; Chordata; Mammalia; Primates; Hominidae.